AUUAUAUCAUCCCCUGAUCUGGAGUCUUAUUAUUUGUUUAAAUGUUAUUGUUUGGACUUGAAUUGAUCGCUUCUGUUCAAUUUCAGGGUGAGCAUUUGCUGCAACACAGGGUGAAUUUUUACUUCUAUUGCCUUGAGGACAUUCAUUGGAAACAUCAUGUUGCACUUGAUGGAGACUCUCCUGAUGAAAAGGCAUCUUUAUGGUAAGAUAAUCUGGCAUAUAAGUGAAUCCCACCGGCUCACAACUUUGUAAGGCGCUGAAGAGGAUGAAGCUCCUUUUCCCUGGAAGACCAGUGUGUUUUUUUACAGAAUGUCUAAAGCUUUAUGACCCAAGAAUACCUUUCUCAAGGACCCAGGAGCUACUUCUUCGAAAUGCAAUCUUCAAGCGAGACAGAACCCCAUGUGUAUCUCCAGUUUCUUUGGGAAGGUAUGAGUCUCCCUCCUGUCAGAGCUCUAUGAGAAAGCUUACUUUCUCCUGGGUAAAGCUAGUUAGUAAACACAGAUGACCUGCGUUCUCUGUCUCACCCCCAUACUUAGAACUUCCCUGCCCUUCAAUUCCACAGAGUUGAGUUCAUUCAGAGUUCUGGCCUCUACCCUAUUGAAAUGGCCUUGAAUAAAGUCUUCCUUGUGUGUUUA
Herpailurus yagouaroundi (jaguarundi) is the source of this 635-nucleotide long non-coding RNA. RefSeq lists it as uncharacterized. The transcript has 3 exons. The record is from RefSeq and is a predicted model, not a curated record. NCBI's taxonomy places the organism in Eukaryota, Metazoa, Chordata, Mammalia, Carnivora, Felidae.